UUUACAUAGUAAAUCAAGUUGACGGAUGCAUGUGCAUGCAUCCUCACAUAAACGCGUGGGUCCGCCUCUGUAUACGACCCCAAGUACCUUCAAUUAUUCAAUUGAGAAGGUAAUGAAUAGGCACUAGCAAACAUAGUUGUACUAAUUGCAAAUUCUUGUUUGCAAAUUUACUAGCAAAAGAGAAAGAUUGAGAGAUAUCAGUGAUCAUUCUUGUUUGGGAAUUACUCUUAGCAUUCAACAGAUUUCAGAAAUGGAGGUAGUUGGUGGAGCAUUUCUCUCUUCAGCUUUGAAUGUUCUCUUUGAUAGGCUUGCUCCUGAGGGUGAUCUGCUCAACAUGUUUAAGAUGGACAAGCGUGAUGUUCGGCUCUUAAAGAAGCUGAGGAUGACUUUGAUUGGUCUUCAAGCUGUGCUAAGUGAUGCAGAGAAUAAGCAGACAUCAAAUCAAUUUGUGAGCCAGUGGCUUAAUGAGUUUCGACAUGCUGUCGACUCUGCUGAAAACUUAAUGGAAGAGGUCAAUUAUGAAGCUUUGAGGAUCAAGGUGGAAGGUCCGCAUCAAAAUCUUGCAGAAACAAGCAAUUACCAGCAAGUAAGUGACCUCAACCUGUGCUUGAGUGAUGAUUUCUUUCUUAAAAUUAAGGAGAAGUUGGAAGAUACUAUUGAAACAUUGAAGGAUUUGCAAGAGCAAAUUGGUGACCUUGGGUUAAAGGAGCAUUUUGGUUCGACUAAACAAGAAACUAGAACACCUUCAACUUCUUUGGUUGAUGAUUCUGAUAUCUUUGGCUUUGGUAGGCACAAGGAAAUAAAGGAUUUGAUUGACCUUUUAUUGUCUGAAGAUGCAAGUGGAGGAAACCUGACUGUAGUUCCUAUUGUUGGAAUGGGCGGUGCGGGUAAGACAACACUAGCUAAAGCGGUUUACAAUGAUGAGAAGGUGAAGAACCAUUUUGGUUUGAAAGCUUGGUAUUGUGUUUCUGAGCCAUAUGAUGCUUUGAGAAUAACGAAAGGGUUACUUCAAGAAAUUGGCUCAUUUGACUCAAAGGAUGAUGGCAAUCUUAAUCAGCUACAGGUCAAAUUGAAGGAAAGCCUGAAGGGAAAGAAGUUUCUUGUUGUCCUUGAUGAUGUGUGGAAUGAUGACUAUAGUGAGUGGGAUAACCUGAGAAAUGUUUUUGUACAAGGAGAUAUGGGAAGUAAGAUCAUUGUAAUUACACGUAAGGAGAGUGUUGCUCAGACGAUGUGUGCUGAUUGUUGCGCAAUCACCGUGGGGACUCUGUCUAGUGAAGACCCUUGGGCUUUAUUCAAACGACAUUCACUAGAAAAUAGGGAACAUCCAGAACUUGAAGAGGUUGGGAAAAAAAUUGCAGUGAACUGCAAAGGGUUGCCUUUAGCUCUAAAGGCACUUGCUGGUGUUUUGCGCGGCAAAUCAGAGGUGGACAAGUGGAGAAACAUUUUAAAAAGUGAAAUAUGGAAGCAGCCAAUUCGUUUGAAUGGUAUACUGCCAGCAUUGAGGUUGAGCUACAAUGAUCUUCUUCCAGAUUUGAAGCGAUGUUUUGCUUUUUGUUCAAUAUAUCCCAAAGAUUAUCAAUUCCGCAAAAACCAAGUUAUUUACCUGUGGAUUGCUAAUGGUCUUGUAAAGCAGUUUUGUUUAGGUAACGAAUACUUUGACGAGUUGAGAUCAAGAUCAUUGUUCGAACGGGUCCCAGAGUCUGAUUGGCUAUCGGAGAGAUUCAUAAUGCAUGACCUUAUCAAUGAUUUGGCCCAAACUGCAUCUUCAAAACUUUGUAUUAGGUUGGAAGAGAGCAAAGGAUCUGAUUAUAUGUUGGAACAAAGUCGGCACAUGUCCUAUUCCACUGCCAAAGUUGGUGACUUUGAGAAAUUGAAACCACUCUCCAAAUUAGAGCAGCUGCGGACAUUGCUUCCAACCAAUGACAGUUACUUUAAUCAGCUAAGCAAGAGGGUGUUGCAUAACAUACUUCCAAGACUGACAUCCUUAAGGGCAUUAUCAUUGUCUCGUUACUAUAUUGAUGAGUUGCCAAAUGACUUGUUUAUCAAAUUAAAUCUCCUCAGAUUUUUGGACCUUUCUCGGACAGAUAUUAGACAGUUGCCAGAUUCUAUUUGUGCAUUGUAUAACUUGGAAACACUUCUCCUGUCAUCUUGUCAAAAUCUUGGGGAGCUACCGCUGCAGAUGGAGAAGUUGAUCAACUUGCGUCACCUCGACAUAACCAACACUCUUCGCUUCAAGAUGCCGCUACAUCUGAGCAAGUUGAAAAGUCUCCAAAUGCUAGUGGGAGCCAAGUUUCUUAUAGGUGGUAGCGGUGAUUUGAGAAUGGAAGAUUUGGGUGAAGUACAUAACUUGUAUGGAUCUCUAUCAGUUUUAGAGUUGCAAAAUGUGGUUGAUAAAAGGGAAGCUCUCAAGGCAAAGAUAAGGGAGAAGAAUCAUGUUGACAAGUUAUUAUUGAAGUGGAGUGAAAGUAGUACUGCCGCCGCCGAUUCUCAAACUGAAAGAGAGAUACUUGAUGAGCUACACCCACACACAAAUAUUAAACAACUCCAAAUCACCGGAUAUAGAGGGACAAAAAUUUCAAAUUGGCUAGCUGAUCCUUUGUUUCUUAAGCUUGUAGAAUUGUCUCUUAGCAACUGCAAGGACUGUGAUUCUUUGCCAGCACUAGGACAGCUUCCUUCUUUGAGAUUCCUUUACAUUAGAGGGAUGCAUGGAAUAACAGAGGUGAUGGAAGAAUUCUAUGGUAAUUCAUCCUCCAAAAAGCCUUUUAACUCUCUUGAGAAGCUUGAAUUUGCAGAUAUGCCAGAGUGGAAGCAAUGGCACGUACUAGGAAGUGGCGAGUUCCCUUUACUUGAGUACCUUUCAAUUAAAAAAUGUCCAAAGUUGAUGGGGAAGUUGCCUGAAAAUCUUUGUUCUCUGACAAAAUUAAAAAUUUCAGAGACACCUCUUUUUGAGGAAGCUCAACUGUUUAGAUCCCAAUUUGAGGGAAUGAAGCAGAUUGUUGAAUUAGAUAUUAGUGAUUGUAACUCUCUUACUUCCUUACCUUUUAGCAUACUGCCCAGUUCCUUGAAGAUAAUAGACAUAUAUAGGUGUGAGAAAUUGAAAUUGGAGGAGCCAGUUGGUUAUUGUAAUAUGUUUCUCGAGGAAUUGAAACUCCGACAUUGUGAUUGUAUAGAUGAGUUUCUCCCAAGAGCACGCAAAUUGUCUAUUUCGAGUUGCCAGAACGUUACUAGGUUUUUGAUUCCUACUGCCACUGAAAGUCUCUGUAUUUUUAGUUGUAAGAAUCUUGAAAUACUUUCGGUGGCAGUUGAGUCUGCGAUGACGUCUUUGGAAAUUUGGGAUUGUGAGAAGCUCAAGUGUCUGCCAGAAAUAGAGCUCUUCAAUUUACAAGUCCUUAAGAUCAGUGAUUGCAAGAAACUCGUGAACGGCAGAAAGGAGUGGUGUUUACAGAGAUUCCCAUGUCUCACAGAGUUAAGCAUCUACCAUGAUGGAAGUGACGAAGAGAUCCAACAUUGGGAGUUGCCUUCCUCUAUUAAAAGACUUACCAUGAAGAAUCUGAAAACAUUAAGCAGCCAAGUUCUCAAAAGCCUCACCUCUCUUCAAUAUCUAUCUAUUGCUGAUUUACCUCAAAUUCAGUCACUGCUGGAAGAAGGUCGGCUUCCCUCCUCUCUUUCUGAGCUACAUUUAUAUCACCAUGAUGAGCUCCAUUCACUACAUCUUUGCCACCUCACUUCACUUCUAAGUCUACACAUCUUUAAUUGCCCUAAUCUCCAAUCACUCUCCGAAUCAACACUGCCCUCCUCCCUCUCUCAGCUGACCAUAGAUGAUUGCCCUAAUCUCCAAUCACUCUCCGAAUCAACACUGCCCUCCUCCCUCUCUAAGCUGACCAUCCGGAGAUGCCCUAAACUUCAAUCACUCUCCGAAUUAGCACUGCCCUCCUCCCUCUCUCAGCUGACCAUAGAUAAUUGCCCUAAUCUCCAAUCCCUUCCAGUAAAAGGGAUGCUCUCUUCCCUCUCUGAUCUAUAUAUUCACAACUGCCCAUUGCUCAAACCACUACUAGAAUUUGACAAGGGGAAAUACUGGCCAAAUAUUGCUCAAAUUCCCACCAUAUUUAUCAAUAGGGAAUGCAUGUGAUGAUUAAAACAAAUGGUGCUCCCACUGAUUGUGGAAUGUCUUUUGCUCAAUCCACACCGAAAAUUGCUCAUACUUCCACCAUAAAUGUUGAUUGGGAGAACCUGUAAUGAUUAUCACAAGUGGUGCUCCGAUAGAUAGAUGAGAAAAAUGUACAUAUACAUUCUAAAACUUCAUACAGAGCUUGCAAUGUGAUGGGAACGGAUGUUUAAAAUCUUUGCGGAGGCAAUUAUUGAAGGAAUUCAGCAAGUUUUUACUGAUUUACAUACUUUGGACUGAAAUAUCUCCACCAUAGAAGUCGAUGGAGAAUACAUUUAAUGAUUAAAGCGAAUGAUGCUCUCACAAAUGAUUUUGGUAACAGUAUAUGUAAGCUAUUACCGCUCUAGCUCAGUUUGUACCAGGAAAGUUCUGCUGCAAUUCUCUAUUGAAUAGACCGUUGCUACAAUGUGGUCUGACAGCAAAGUACUUGCUGCAAAUGGGACGUACAGCUCUGAUGGAACCCAAAGAUAUGUAGUUGCAGAGAUAAAGCAUAUGACAAUCUGGCUCGGAAAGAACAGUUUGACAUCCAAGACAGUGAAGAGCUUAAUAGAAUGAAGGAAGAAAAUGUCAAUCUGCAAGAAAAGCUGAAUAAUACAGUAAGGAGGUUGUGAUUUCCAAGUCGUACAGCUGUCUACUGUGGCUUCCUUGAGAUGAAACAUGACUUGCUGCAAAUGGAAUGUCAAGCUCUAAUGUACCCAAAGGCCGGAUGAGGACAAAACCAUGGCUGUUCACGCUUCAACUCAGUUUCCUGAGUAUACGCAUAGUUUGAUUGAUGUUGUCUUGGUGUUCCCGAACAUAAUAUCUGUGUGAUAACAGGAAGGGCUGAAGGUGGCUUUGGCGGCAAGAAAUAUGCCAGUGAGUACCCACAAGGAUUUUCGUUUAAAGCUACAGAUAAAAAAGGCCUUUUUGUUUAAAGUUGUUGCUUGGAAAUAGUUUUGCUCCUUUCA
RNA transcript from Solanum tuberosum (potato), 5112 nucleotides. It is a transcript of the gene named putative disease resistance protein At3g14460, with no coding region annotated. Lineage: Eukaryota; Viridiplantae; Streptophyta; Magnoliopsida; Solanales; Solanaceae. The record is from RefSeq and is a predicted model, not a curated record. The transcript has 10 exons.